Molecule: RNA transcript, 15055 nt
Organism: Homo sapiens (human)
Lineage: Eukaryota; Metazoa; Chordata; Mammalia; Primates; Hominidae
Gene: TBC1D22A
Gene name: TBC1 domain family member 22A
Exons: 10
Source: RefSeq, marked validated
GGAAGAGCUUCUCGGCUCUAGGCUCUGGAGUCCCGGGAGCAGUGAGGGGCCACCCGGGGCACAGGAAAGGGCCGCUAGGGGAGGGCCGGGUGCACUCGGGGUGUCUGGGCCGCGGGUCUGAGGGAUGAGGAGGGGCCAUGGCCAGCGACGGGGCCAGGAAGCAAUUCUGGAAGCGCAGCAACAGCAAGCUCCCGGGCAGCAUCCAGCACGUGUAUGGUGCCCAGCACCCCCCCUUUGAUCCACUGUUACAUGGCACUUUGCUCAGGUCCACGGCCAAGAUGCCGACCACACCAGUGAAGGCCAAGAGGGUCAGCACCUUCCAGGAGUUUGAGAGCAAUACCAGCGAUGCCUGGGACGCUGGGGAGGACGACGAUGAGCUCCUGGCCAUGGCGGCGGAGAGCCUGAACUCCGAGGUGGUCAUGGAGACGGCCAACCGUGUGCUGCGUAACCACAGCCAGCGGCAGGGGCGGCCCACGCUGCAGGAGGGGCCAGGGCUUCAGCAGAAGCCCAGGCCCGAGGCAGAGCCGCCCUCACCCCCCAGCGGCGACCUCCGGCUGGUGAAGUCGGUCAGUGAGAGCCACACGUCCUGUCCUGCAGAAAGUGCCAGCGAUGCCGCCCCUCUGCAGAGGUCCCAGUCUCUCCCACACUCGGCCACCGUCACGCUGGGUGGCACAUCUGACCCCAGCACUCUCAGCAGCUCAGCGCUGAGCGAAAGAGAGGCCUCCCGGCUCGACAAGUUCAAGCAGCUGCUUGCCGGCCCCAACACGGACCUUGAGGAAUUACGGAGGUUGAGCUGGUCCGGAAUCCCUAAGCCAGUGCGUCCAAUGACGUGGAAGCUCCUCUCAGGUUACCUUCCCGCCAAUGUAGACCGGAGACCAGCCACUCUCCAGAGAAAACAAAAAGAAUAUUUUGCAUUUAUUGAGCACUAUUACGAUUCUAGGAACGACGAAGUUCACCAGGACACAUACAGGCAGAUCCACAUAGACAUCCCUCGCAUGAGCCCUGAAGCGUUGAUCCUGCAGCCCAAGGUGACGGAGAUUUUUGAAAGGAUCUUGUUCAUAUGGGCGAUCCGCCACCCAGCCAGUGGAUACGUUCAGGGUAUAAAUGAUCUCGUCACUCCUUUCUUUGUGGUCUUCAUUUGUGAAUACAUAGCCUUUCCAGGUUGUGGUCGGCCUCAGAUUCCCAUCCUUGCUGUGAUCUGGAGAGAUGAGCCUUACCCGAGGACAGAUGAACAGAUUAUCCUCAGAAGAUGAGGACAUAUCCAAGUAGUGAAUUUUACUGCAGCCCUCUGACACUUUGUUUCCAUUUGUGAUUUCAUAGGAGGUUGUCUCAUUGCUAAGCAACUAAUGAGAGCUGCCUCGGCUCACUCCCUAAUCAUCUCUUAAGUAGGGGAGAGGCUACUCCUGAGGGUGCUUGCUUUUCUGCCUCUUACCCCUCAUUUGACAGAUAAUGAAAAUGCUCUUAAUGAUCCUAGAACAGUAGGACCUCUGUCAGUAGACUUCAGAGUUGUUAAUUGAAAGGAGAAGUUCAACUGAGAUGUGAUUAGAGAAUUGAUAUUCCAUGUUAAAUAGACCAUUUAAUUAAUGUGGUAAAUAAGUUUGUUUUAACUACUUUACCGCCAACUUCUGUUGUAAGACCUAAGCGAUUCUUAAUGCAUUUGCCUGAUUAUCUGCAAGACAGGAUGAAGGGGCAUGACCACGAUCUUAAUUGUCCAGAAGAAAGAAAGCCUGGAGAAAAUGGAAUUUGUGUCCUAUAAGUGGUGUCUUCAGAUGAGCUCAGAGACACUCUCCUUGCCUUCCUGCGUCCCCAUCCUUCCUGCAUCGCCGUCACACACGCAGGCACAUGCACACACACAUGCACACAUCAGAACACAACUACACAUUGGGUAUACGGUGUCACUUUUGAACAUCUGUGUAAAACAUACCAUUUAUUUCUGUCAGUCAACUAUUAAGUGGACAUAUAAAAAUGUUUGGGCCAGGCGCUGUGGCUCACGCCUGUAAUCCGAGCACUUAAGGAGGUUGAUGCAGAUGAAUCACGAGGUCAGGAGUUUGAGACCAUCCUGGCUAACAUGGUGAAACCCCGUCUCUACUAAAAAUACAAAAAAUUAGCUGGGCGUGCUGGCAUGCACCUGUAGUUCCAGCUACUCGGGAGGCUGAGGCAGGAGAAUCGCUUGAGACUGGGAGGCGGAGGUUGCAGUGAGCCGAGAUCGCGCCACUGCACUCCAGCCUGGGUGACAGAAUGAGACUCCAUCUCAAAAAAAAAAAAAAAAAAGAAGUUCGGUCCUGGAUUUCACAUGUGAUUAUUGCAUUUGUAGUCCUUUUUAGAUCUAGCUUCCUAGGUUUGGGGAAUGUUCAUUAGUACAGUCCAAGUCCGCCUUUCAUUAUGUUGUAAAGAAGCGUUUAACUUGCGUGGUGUGCUGUCCAGAUUCCUUAUGGGGCUGAAGUUGAGUCAUUCACGCGGCCCUUCAUGGAGCACCUGCCCUGGUGCUGGGUGUGGUGCAGAGCGCUGCGGUGGGGAGAUGACUUCGGUUCAACGCAGCCAGUGUUGACAGAGCAUCUCCUGGCCCUGUGCUGUGGGAGUGGGGCAGGAGAACAAGGAAAGCCUGAUCCCUGUCCUCUUGGAGUUUGUGGUUGUAGCACGGAAGACAGAUUUUAGAGGAGUAAUUUAAAGUCUUAAUUAAAGUAAUUAACAUUCACAUUAUCAAGAGGAAGCCUGGGCUGCUGUAGGGACCUGUCCCCUUAUAGGGGUCAGGGGAGGCCUCCAGGGUGAGGUGAUGUUUUAGCCAUGUCUCGCGGGAUGAGGAGGAGGCUAGAUUGAGGCCGGGCAUUCAGAGAGGGCAGCAGAAGGGCCGGCCUGGAAUCCAAGGUGCAGUGACAAGUAGUGGCAUUGGGAGGAAGGGCAGGGCGGCUUGGGCUGCAGUGCUGAGAAGGAGAAGCUUGGGGUCGAGUCCCAGGGGUGUGCGAAACCCCCAGCCACUGUGCUCAGGUUCUUAUCUUUGAACAUUCAUUCUGGCAGCUGCGUGGAUGAGAUUGGAGGGUUUCUGGGGAAGCUCAUAGACCAGGGACCCGCAGGGUCCAGCACCGGCAGAGGCACGGGUGCCCUCCAGAGAGGCUAUUCUGGUUUGCUGAACUCUUAGUUUGCUGGGUCUUCAAGCCGGUAAACCUCAGAUGCUCUGCUUAGUGAAGAUCUUCAAGAUUGACUGUUCCUUCAGAGAACAGAGCCUGGUAAUGGGAUUCUGUGGUUUCGACACCUGAGCACCUGCCAGUCCUUGGGCCUCAGCGUUCAGGUUAUCAUGUGACCGCUCAUACACCUUUGGUGCAGCUGCCAGUGGCACUAGCCCGGGUGUGGCUACCUCCUGAGAGCUGCAGCUGGCCUGGUUCUGGGGAUGAGCUUGUGUUGUUACUUGGAUAUUCCUCUUUUCUUUGAAGUACAGGAUAGCAUCCCAGUUAAUCAAAGGUUUAAGAAAUCCCCGGGGUGUGGGAUUUCUCCAGGGGCUUUCAGGCAACAGCAGACAGAUCUGUGAUGCCUGAGUGGGAGCUGGGCUCUUUCUGGGGAUGUGUGUUCGCCAUGUGUCCAGAGCCUGUAAAGAUCCACAGAUCCUGGCCUGCCAUAUGCUCCCACUGGUUUCACGGGAGGUGGGGAAUCCUGGAGUGUGGCAUUGGUCCUGAGUAGGAGCAGCUCUUCGGGAGUGGCUCAUCGUUCUGGCUGUCAGUGGGAGGUUCCAACUCUGCACAUGCUGGCACUCAGAGCCCUCUCAGUGUUACGUUCUUUGACUUGGAAAGAAGGAUGUGGUGGGCUUCAGAUUCCCAUCCUUGCUGUAAUCUGGAGAGAUGAGCUUUACCCGAGGACAGAUCAUCCCCCGAGGAUGAGGACAUAUGCAUGUAGUGAAUUGUAUUGCAACCCCUCUGACACUUUGUUUCCAGUUAUGAUUUCAUAGGAGGUUGUCUCAUUGCUAAGCAACUAAUGAGAGCUGCUGUGGUUGAGGUUGACACACAGGACCUGGUCUGAAGGCAGACCAGUCGACUAGGUGAACUGCUUCCCAGCACAGAGGAGAAUGUUCAUCUUCAGCAGGAGGCUGGCCAGGAUGUCAGAGUCAGAGAAACAGUUUGUAGUGGGGGAGCAAUGCUCAAGCUGUGUGGAGGUGUGCUCAGAGGUGGGUUAGGGUUCGAUGGGUCUCCAUGGGUGCCAGGACACUGCCGGCCUGAGUCAGGAAUACAUGGUAUGCAUCCCAGCAGUCCUCGUGGAGCUCACCACUAUUUGAGAAGGGCAGUUUGGUCCUGCUGUUGAUGGAUGCAGAGUCUGUAAAUGCAUGUUUAGGGCAUGCUCUUGCACACACACAUGCUGUGCACACAGGCGUGCAGGCACGUGCACGCGGACAUACAUAACCAUACAGAGACACAAACCCACUUGCACACUCCUCACUAGUGCUAGCCUCAACCUCUCCAAGCAAAUGGGGAACAAAUCUGUAAUCAACCUUUGUUUGAGUGGCACCCACCAGUUUCGCUCAGGCCCUGGAGGUGCCUGUCAUUGGAGAAAGAGGUCAAGCGAUCUUGCGUGACCUCAGAGGCAGGGGCAGCCGUGUGCAAAGCAUGUGAAGACAGUGAAGUCCAGUAAAUACAGCCAGUUCGACAUCACCGAAGCUUGGGGAGAAAACUCUACAAGUGAAAACGAAGUGAGAGGGUAUAAUGUGAUGGGAGAGAUCGAUCAUGGAGAAGUUCUCUAUGCCAGGAAGGUUUCGCAGCUCAUAAAUUUCAGAGGUUGAAGCCUUAGGGAGUGGGGAAGAAACUAGAGGCACAUAGUGAUACAUUUGCUGAAGCUUGAAUGUGCCCAUUCCAGAUCAGAGCCAAGCGUGCGUGCUUGUUCUUGCAGAUUGCGUCCUUGACCCAUGGGGCGGGCAGAGUGUGGAGGAGACUCCAGUUAGCACAGCCAUUGGAGACGACACUCAGCUAGGAACAGGCGGAAGACACACUUUUUAGUCUAAUCUUUUAGAAUUGAGAGGAAACAGCAAGGCACGUGCUACUUUGGACUUAGUUCAGGCCAUGGAAGAAGGCAGGUCUAGGAUGAGAAUAACAUAGGGUCCAGGGCAUCUUAGAGUUUGUAACAGCAGAGGAGUGACACCUGGUCUAGAGACACUGAGGGGUACAGGAGCAGGCCCAGACCAGAGGCCGGUGGAGGCAGGAGACUCGCUGACGGAGGACUGGGCCUGAGAGGAGGGCCUGGUCCUGGAUGUCAAAUAGGCUGCUGUGAGGGCACCAAGGUGGCUUGGUGUGAGUAGAGGGGAGCGUGAACGAGAAGGAAAAAUCCAGUCACCUCCUAGAUUCCUGGCCCUGUGAGGGGUGUGGUGCCGUUUACCAGGAUGAGACGUGGAGUAGAAAGAGCGGGUUGAGGAGGCGGGAUGGGGUUCUGAUUUAGGAUGUGCUGAGUGUGCUCUGUCGGCAGUGAUUGAGUAGAAGAGUCUGUUGGGAUCCGGGCCUUGGCAGGAGAUCUGCAGUGGAGGUUAGUCUGGAAAUUGUCGGCCUGGAAAUGGCUGCUGACAGUCGCGGCUGUGGAUGUGUGUGUCUGGGGAGAGUGGAGUGCAGCGGGUCACAGGAUCCAGUGGCUCUCUGAUGUGUCAGGGGUCUCCGAGCUGUGACUGUCUGUGACUCGAGGAGCUGGCAAUGGGGCUGUCCCACAGGGAGGUUUAUGGCGCUCUCCCAUGCCGGAGUCUGGGCGUUGAGAGUCCAGGUGGCUCCUGCUGCUGAGGGCCGCCUUUGGGAUCUGUGAAGGAUGCAAUGCAGCUCUGGGGCCUGACCGCUGGGGUCCAGAUCCAGACGCUGCCCCUGAAGAGCUGCAGGCGGCCUUGGUGCCUCAGUGAUCUCUGCAGUGGACACGAAAUGGAGAUCGUAAUGGCACCAGUCCCUUGGUUGGUGUGAACACUGAGCGAGGCAAAAACAGCUUAGAACCAGGUUUGGAGAGAGGGAGAUGGUGCAGGGUGCAGGGCCGAGGCCAAAGCACGCCUCAGCUGAGCCUAUGUGUUUUCGGAAGCUUUCCUGGAACCCACACAGCGAUGUCCUCCAUCAGCCACACCCUUGCCACCCACCAGCCACAGGGGACCUGGAGAAGAUGUGGGUGGAGACAGGAGGCAAGGAAGAGGGUCUGUGUGUGUGUGCAUGCAGGCUGCCAGACCAGUGUGUGCCCCGGGGAGAGGUAUGGUGGUGUGGUAAGGAAAUGGAGAAGAAGUGGUUUCAGAGGUAAGACAAAGGCCAGGCCUGAGGUAUCACAGAAAUCAAGGGAGGGGACAACUUCAGGAAGGAGGGAGUGGUCAGCAGAGCUCAUAGGGAUGGAGACUGAAAAUUGGUCAAAGCAUUUGAUAGUGGGGAUCUUGCUAGCGACCUGCCAAAUCUGGCUGAAGAAUAGUGGCAAGCAAACUGUCACAUCAGCUCCCUGCCCUCCCUCAGAAAUGGGGGCCUGAAUGUUUCUGUGCUUGGGGAAGAUUGCACUCAGUGGACCACAGCCUCUUGCAACUUUAUUUUAAAUAAUUUUUUAUGAUGGAAAGUUUCAAACACAAAGUCAACAAAAUUGUCCGAAGAACCCGCGUGCCCGUCAUCUGACUCCAGCAGUCACCGUUCUCCUUCCUUCUGUCCCCCACCCACUCCCAACCUCCAUGCAACUUUACUUACUACUGCUGUUUAAAAACAGCUUUAUUGAGAUUCAGUUUAGAAACCAUAACGUUUACCCACUUAGAGUGUAAAGUUGAAAGAUUUUUAGAAUAUUUAGAGUAGUGUAACCAUCAGCACCUUUGUUUUUAGAAUAUUUUCAUCAUCCCCAAAAGAAAUCCUAUACUCAUUGGCAGUCACUCCCCAUCCUUCCCUUUUCUCUUGUCCACUAGCCCCAGGCAGCCUCUCAUUUGCUUUCUGUGUCUGUGGAUUUGCUUCUUCUGGACAUUUCACGUGAGUGGAAUUACAUGGUGCGUGGCCCUUUGUGUCUGGCUUCUUCCACUUGGCAUCAUGCUUCCAAGGUUCAUCCACGCAGCGUGAAUCAGUACUUCCUUCAUUCCGUAGCCAGGUAACGUCUCCGGGUACGGACGCAGCACGUUGUGUUUCUCCACUCAUCUGUUGGUGAACAUUUGGAUUGUUUUCAUUUUUCGACUAAUAUUGUUUCCAUUUUUGACUAAUAUUUUGACUAACAGGAAUAACGUUGCUAUGAGUAUUCAUGUACAAGUCUUCGUGUAGAUAUGUGUUUCCAUUUCUGUUGGUAUAUAACUGGGAGAAUUACUGGGUCACAUGGUUACUCUGUUUAACCUUUUGAGGACCUGCCGGACUGCUUUCCCACGUGGCGGCACCAUUUUCCCUGCCCAUAGCAUUGUGGGAGGAGCGUAUGUUUCCUCUUCCUGCAGGAGUGUGUCCACAUCCUGGUCAACACUUGUCAUCAUCUUUCACUCUUUUUUUUUUUUUUGUAGACUUUACUGAAUCUUAUAUUAAUUUAAAGAGAUUGAGUUCUGCCUCUUACUCUCAAACUGUGAUAAAAACUCAGAUAAGAAGGGAUGUUGACUGUAGAAAUCAUUUGUAAAGAGGAAUAAAUUCCCCGGUGCUGCUGUUUUCCCCAUAGCCCAGCAACUUCAGUGUUGACAGCCUUUGUGCCCAGUGCCAAAUUCCCUGUCAUAAGAGGGAACCUUUAUGGCAACUGUUUAACCCCCUUAAAAUGGAUGCACAUGCUGAUGUUUUCUUCUAGGCUUAAAGCUGAGUGUUAGGUAUAUAUGUGUUUGUUUGUAUGUAUGUAUGUAUGUAUGUAUGUAUGAAUGAAGGAGAGAGACAGAGUGUUGCUCUAUUGCCUAGGCUAAGUGCACUAACGUUAUCAUAGUUCAUGGCAGCUGCAACCUCCCAGGCUUAAGUGAUGCUCCUACCUCAGCCUCCCAAGUAGCUGGGACUACAGGCAUGCACCACCACGCCUGACUAAUUUUUUAUUUUUUGUAGAGGCAGAGUCUUGCUAUAUUGCCCUGGUUGGUCUCAAACUCCUGGACUCAAGGAAUUCUUCUUCCUUGGCCUCUCAAAGUGCUGGGAUUACAGGCACGAGCCACUGUGCCUAGCUCAAAGCUGGGUAUUCUCCCAUUCUAAUAAUCAUUUAGUCAUGUCCUAUGACAAUUAUACCUUAACUUUUUAGAAGGGAUAUAUGGAAAGGUAAAAUUUCCAUAUAUUCCCUAAAACUCAUGGAGGCUGUGAUUCUGUUUCAUUCCUGAUGUGUGCUCUGUUUUCUUUUUUCCUGUUGUGCCUCUCCCAGGUAGAUUCGCUGCUCCUCGAAUCUGGGGACUGUGUCGCAUGCGUGUGUCAUGCUUUGCACAGAGAAGCUUCGUGGAUUAGAGAAACUCUGUUGAAUUGGAUCCCUACAGAAAGUUUUUGUGUUUAUAGAGCACUUUAUUAGUAUUUGUUUAAACACUGAAACAAUAUAUAAUUUUUAUUUAUUUUUUGAAGUUAACAUUAUGUUAUUUAUUCAUUUUUUUUUUUUGAGAUGGUGUCUCUGUUGCUCAGGCUGGAGUGCAGUCGUGCGAUAUCGGCUCACUGCAACCUCUGCCUCCUGGGUUCAAGCGAUUCUCCUGUCUUAGCCUCCUGAGUAGCUGGGAUUACAGGUGUGUGCCACCAUGCCCGGCUAAUUUUUGUAUUUUUAGUAGAGACAGGGUUUUACCAUGUUGGCCAGGCUGGUCUCGAACUCCUGACCUCAAGUGAUCCACCCACCUCGGCCUCCCAAAGUGCUGGGAUUACAGGCAUGAGCCACUGUGCCCGGCUACUAUGUUGUUAUUAUUUUUUAACUUUUAUUUUAGGUUCAAGGGUACAUGUACAGGUUUUUUAUAUAGGUAAAUUGUGAGUCACAGGGGUUUGGUGUACAGAUUAUUUAGUUACCCAGGUAAUAAGCGUAGUACCCGAGAGGUAGUUUCUCGAUUCUGACCCUCCUCCCGCUCUCCACCCUCAGGCAGGCCCUGGUGUCUAUUGUUUGCUUCUUUGGGUCCAUGUGUACUCAAUAUUUAGCUCCCACUUAUAAGUGAGAACAUGCAGUAUUUGGUUUUCUGUGCCUGUAUUGGUUCUUUUAGGAUAAUGACCUCCAUCUCCGUCCAUGUUGCUACAAAGGAUGUGAUCUUGUUCUUUUUUAUAGCUGAAUAGUAUUCCAUGGUGUAUAUGUACCACAUUUUCUUUAUCCAGUCCACCAUUGAUGGACAUUUAGGUUGUUUCCAUAUUUUUUGCUAUUGUAAAUAGUGCUAUGAUGAACAUACACGUGUAUGUGUCUUUAUGGUACAGUGAUUGAUAUUCCUUUGGGUGUAUACCCAAUAAUGGGAUUGCUGGGUUGAACAGUAGUUCUGCUUUAAGUUAUUAGAGAAAUCACCGAACUGCUUUCCAUAGUGGCUGAACUAUUUACAUUCUCACUAGCAGUGUAAAAGCAUUUUCUUUUGUCUACAACCUCCACAGCAUCUGUUUUUUUUUUUGACUUUUUAAUAAUAGUCUUUCUGACUGGUAUGUGAUGGUAUGCAAAUAUGGUUUGCAAAUAUUUUCUCCUGUAGGUUGUAUGUUUACUCUGUUGAUAGUUUCUUUUGCUGUGCAGAAGCUCUUUAGUGUAAUGAAGUCCCAUUUGUUAAUUUUUGUUUUUGUUGCAAUUGCUUUUGACAUCUUGGUCAUGAAAUCUUUGCCAGGGUCUGUGUCUGGAGUGGUAUUUCCUUACAUUAUCUUACAGGAUGUUUACAGUUUUAGGUUUUACAUGUAAGUCUUUAAUCUAUCUUGAGUUGAUUUUGGUAUAACAAAGGGGUCUAGUUUCAAUCUUCUGUGUAUGGCUAACCAGUUAUCCCAGCACCAUUUAUUGAAUAGGGAGUCCUUUCUCCAUUGCUUGUUUUUGUCCACUUUGUCAAAGAUCAGAUGGCUGUAAAUGUGUGGCUUUAUUUCUGGGCUCUCUCUUCUGUUCCAUUGGUCUGUGUGUCUGUUUUUGUUAUUGUGCCAUGUUACCAGUGCCAUGCUGUUUUUGUUAGUGUAGCCUUGAAGUAUAGUUUCAAGUGUACUCACAAGUAUAUUCAUAAGCAUGAAUAUUGUAAUGCCUCCAGCUUUGUUCUUUUUUGCUUUGGAUUGCUUUGGCUAUUCAGGUUCUUUUUUGAUUCCUUGUGAAUUUUAAAAUAGUUUUUUUUCCUAAUUCUGCAAAAAAUGUCAUUUAUUGGUAGUUUAAUAGGAAUAGCACUGAGUUUGUAAAUUGCUUUGGGCAGUGUGGCCAUUUUAACAAUAGUGAUUCUUCCUAUCCAUGAGCAUAGAAUGGUUUUCCAUUUGUAUAUUCAUCUCUGAUUUUUUUGAGCAGUGUUUUGUAAUUCUCAUUGUAGAGAUCUUAUAUGUUACCUGGUUAGCUGUAUUUCUAGGUAUUUUAUUCUUUUUGUGGCUGUUGUAAAUGGGAUUGCAUUCUUGAUUUGGCUCUCAGCUUGGACAUUGUUAGUGUACAGAAAUACUACUGCUUUUUGUACAUUGAUUUUUGUAUUCUAAAAUUUUACUGAAGCUAUCAGAUCUAGGAGCUUUUGGGCAGAGACUAUGGGGUUUUCUAGGUAUAGAAUCGUAUUGAUUGCAAACACUUUUAUUUCCUCUCUUCCUAUUGAAUGCCUUUUAUUUCUUUCUGUUGCCUGAUUGCUUUGGCAAGGACUUCCAGUACUCUAUUGAAUAGGAGUUUUGAGAGUGGGCAUCCUUGUCUUGUUCUGGUUUUCAAGGGGAGUGCUUCCAGCUUUUGUCCAUUCAGUGUGCUGUUGAUUGUGGGUUUGUCAUAAUUGGCUCUUAUUAUUUUGAAGUAUGUUCCUUCAGCGUUACAGAGUAAUGUAAAAACAUAGCUUUAGAAACAGUAUAGAGAUACUGGUAAAUAUAGAUAAGUUAUGAAGGAAGCAAUUAAAAUACUUGGCCAUCCCACUGUUGAGAAGACUUAUUGAAGCCUAUCUCCUCACUGUGCAGCCUCCCCUUUGAUUAAGAUCCUUUCUUCCCACACAGCCACACUGGGAGGGCUGGAGAAGGAUCUCUCUACUUUCUCUGCUCCCAAGAGACCAGUGGCUAUCUGCAUGGGGAGAGUCCUGGGCUCUACUUCAGUUCCUUGGGGGUGGCACCAUGGUAUCACCUCUGUGUGGCAAGCAGUGUGAAUCUGGGCCCUUCCCCAUCUCUUGCCCCGCCCAGGGCUGGGCCUCGAAGGUAGCCUGGGUCUCUUCUCUAGGUUGCUAGGGUCGCAGUGUCUAGGUCUGGGCUGGGAGGAAGAAGGACUCAUCCAGCUUGGAGCCUGAGCUGUGGUUCCAGCCCGUCCUUUGAGCCAGGGUGCGGGGCACUUGCCCGCUCAGCGCUCACUCAGGGGUUACUGUCCUGUGUAUGGCCACCAGGCAGCCGCCGUACCACUGUGCAUAAGCAGCUGUUUUCUGUAUUUCCUCUAAGUCUUGUUUUCUAUGCAUUGUAUUUACAUAGUCGAGUGCAUAUUAUCUAUAACAUUUUGUUUCAUGUUUUUUUCCCACAUUUAACCUUACAAUGUAGGCUUUUCCUUGUAUUAAGAAAUCUUUAUAAAAAUCAUUUCUACCUUCUGUACAUAAUGCUCUAUUGAGAUCAUGUAGCAUAAUUUCUGAAACCAUCCAGUGUUGGUGAAUCUUUUCUUUUAGUUUUUCUUUCCUUUAGGCAUGGUGUAAUUUUUAAGAAAAGCCUGUACUUUUCAAACAGCGACUGUCAUAUUACUUUUAAGUAUGUUAAAUUUGAAGAUUUUGAAUUAAGGAGCAUUGUUCCAUCACCUUGAAUUCCACAGUUUAAGCAGACAAUUGUAUUUUAGCUUAAACAUUUUUAGCAGAGCAAGAAACAAAGAAGUAUUUGCCCCCCUCCCCAUCUUUGAUGCCUCCGUGCUAUUUAAAUGUAGAAACAGUCUUGACUGAGUCCUUUGGACUGAUAGCUCGGAGUGGCUGGAUGUCUUGACUGAGUACUUUGGACGGAUAACUCGGAGUGACUGGAUGUUGGUUGUGCUGCAGGCGAGCAAUAGGACCACAUUUUGGAAAAGGUGAAGAGUGUUUUACAAUGGAUUCUCACCAUCAGUAUGUUUAAUAUCUAAUUGACUUGAUUUUCUAUGUCAUUUUCUCUUAAAUUACUCUUGAAAGCAAAUGUGCAAUGGGAUUAGAAUAAAUAGUGCAUUUACUUAAGAACAUUAAGAAUAUUUAUUUUGCCGGGUGCGGUGGCUCACGCUUAUAAUCCCAGCACUUUGGGAGGCCGAGGUGGGCAUCAGGAGUUCGAGACCAGCCCGACCAACGUGGUGAAACCCCUUCUCUACUAAAAAUACAAACAUUAGCUGGGCAUGGUGGCGCAUGCCUGUAAUCCCAGCUACUUGGGAGGCUGAGGCAGGAGAAUUGCUUGAACCCGGGAGGUGGAGGUUGCAGUGAGCCAAGAUUGUGCCAUUGCACUCCAGCCUGAGCAACAAGAGUGAAACUCUAUCUCAAAAAAAAAACAAAAACAAAAACAUUAUAUUCCUGUUUGUAAGUCAGAUUCUUAAAGUAUAGAUUGUUCUUAAGCAUGUGGUUACCCAGAGAGGACACUCUAGCAUAUGGCUCCUGGAGCUGGAGGACUGCUAGGGUUGUGAUGAGUGUGUGGUGGGGAUGGCAGGUAAAAUCCCCACAGCCGGUGGGACACAUGAGAGGAUGAACGCAGAGAACAUGCUCACAGCUGGAUUUUAGCAGCAUAGUCAUUCUUUUGCUUAUUUCCAUUAUCGGAGUAUUGAUAGAGCUUUGAGUGACAGUGAGGGAAAGAAGAGCUGGUGCUAGUUUCUCAUUGAUAAGUUGUAGCUUUAGAAUGAUUUGUUUUAGCUUUCCAUUGUUAGCAUUUAAAUUUUACUUCCCUCCACCUUGUUUUUUUUGUGUUGUCUAAACCAAGGCUACUGCCAAAUACAUCCUUUGCCUGACUUCCUUGAAUGUUCCUCAUAGCUUAGGUGCUUUUGUGCUCCACAGUUAAUCUCGGAAACAUUGAAAGGUAAAAACCAAAGCAUCUGAGCGUAGCACAUUUUCUGUAGCAGUUCUAGACCCACGUGAGACAAGCAGAGAGUUCCCUGGGGUUGCUCGUGUGUGGAAUAGCGAAGUGGAGGUGGCUGGCUUUGCAGCCCCUGAACUGACUGUGCAGGUGCCACAUCUUUGCAUUGCCCACGACUCAUAUAUAUUCAUUUUUUCUAGUUAAAAACAUUUCGGAAAUAAUUAGUGUAAUGGACUUACUGUUUAAAAGAUUGGAAAGUUUAAUAACAGUAUGGCUUUGCCAUCCCAGAAGCUGUCACUUGAAUGUUUGGCUAAUUUUUUUCUGGCCUUUUACUCUGUAGAUUCUUUUCCAUAGUAGCUAUUAUAUUAUGCAUGCACAUUUCAAUAUUGCUUUUUGCUUAGUAUCUAACCAUUUUCCAGUGUCAUUCAACAGUUUUAAAAAAUACGUGUUUUAAAAGUAGCAACAUACUACUUUCAAUAAUGGCUAGAAAAAUGAGACAAAUCAGCAAGAAACUAGAAGAAUAAACAACACAGAAAACCAACUAGAUCUAGUAGAUAUCCACAGAACACUGCACCCAACAGCAGCAGGAUACAUGUUCCUCUCAAGUGCUUGUGGAGCAUUCUCUACAAUAGACCAUAUGCUAGGCCAUAAAACAAGCCGUAAUACUUUUGAGAAGAUGGAGUUUAUACAAAGUGUGUUCUUUGACCACAGUGGCAUUAAGUUAGAAGCCAGUAACAGAAGGAAAUUUGAAGAAAAUGACAAAUAUGUAGACAUUUUAGAACACACCCUAAAUAACCAGUGGGUCAAAGAAGAAAUCGUAAGGGAAAUUAGAAAUUGCUGUGAGAUGAAGAAAAUGAAAACACAAUAUAUCAGCACUUACAGGAUGCAGUUAAAGCAGUGAUCCAAGAGAAAUUUAUAGUUGUAACGGACUAUAUUAAAAAAGACCUCAAAUCAUUAACUUUCCACUUUCCGAAACUUAGAAAAAGAAGGGUAAAAUAAAGCCAAAACAAACAGAAGGGAGAAAAUAAUGAAGACUAGAACAGAAAUAAGUGAAACAGACUUGUAGCUAGACUGACCAGAGAGAGAGAGAAAACUCAAGUUACUAAAUUCAUGAGAAAUUUUAGAAAUACACAGCAUUAAAGUAAUACUAUGAACGACUCUACAAACCAGGCAGUGUAUAUGAAACAGAGAAACUCCUAGAAACACACAAAUUGCCAAAAUUGACUAUGAUGGUUAAUUUUGUGCUGACUUGGCUGGGCUGUGGUGCCCUGUUGUUUGGUCCAACUCCAGUCUAUUUGUAGCUGCAGUGUAGAUGUAUUUUAGAUGUGAUUAACAUUUAAAUCGGUGGACUUUGAGUAAAGCAGGUUACCCUCCACAAUGUAGGUGGGCCUCCUAAUCUAAUCAGGUGAAGGCCAUGAGCUUGAAGAGUGAAGUUUCUUGAAGAAGUAGGAAUUCUUCUCAAGACUGCCUCACGGGAAAUCCUGACCGAGUUCCUAGCCUGCUAGCCUACCCUACAUAUUUCAGACUUGCCAGUCCCUACAAUUGUGUGAGCCAAUUCCAUAAAAUAAGUCUCUCUUUGAGACUGAAUUAAUUAUUAACAAUUUAAAAUUAACAAUGAACUAAUUUUCAUCAAUAAUUUAAAUAAUGUUAACUUGUUAUUAAUUAGUAUUAAUUAUUGAAACAAUAAUUUCAAAAAUCCCCACAAAGAAAAUCGUAGGACUAGAUGACUUCACUUGUGAAUUUUAUCAAAGGUUUAACAAAGAAUUAACACUCUUUCUUCAUAGACUCUUUCAAAAAAUAGAAGAGGAGGGAGCACUUUUCACCUCAUUCUAUGUGGCCGAUAUUACUCUGAGACCAAAGUGAGAUGAAGACAUAACAAGGAAAGAAAAUUACAGAACAAUAUUCCUUAUCACAAUGGACUUAAAAAUCCUCAGCAAAGUCCUAACAAACUAAAUCUAGCAACGUAUUGAAAGGAUUAGGCAUUAUUACAAGUGGAAUUUAUUUGAGGAAUGCUGGGAUGGUUCAACAUUUGAAAGUCAAUCCGUGUAAUACACUGUAUUAACAGAAUAAAGGACAAAAACUACAUGAUCAUCUCA